This 454-nucleotide ribosomal RNA is filed under the name uncultured bacterium. RNAcentral describes it as "partial 16S ribosomal RNA". It matches the Rfam family "Bacterial small subunit ribosomal RNA", at positions 28 to 507 of the family's 1533-position model. The record is from RNAcentral.
GAUGAACGCUGACAGAAUGCUUAACACAUGCAAGUCAACUUGAACUUCGGUUUGGGUGGCGGACGGGUGAGUAACGCGUAAAGAACUUGCCUCACAGUUAGGGACAACAUUUGGAAACGAAUGCUAAUACCUGAUAUUAUGAUUUUAGGGCAUCCUAGAAUUAUGAAAGCUAUAUGCGCUGUGAGAGAGCUUUGCGUCCCAUUAGCUAGUUGGAGAGGUAACGGCUCACCAAGGCGAUGAUGGGUAGCCGGCCUGAGAGGGUGAACGGCCACAAGGGGACUGAGACACGGCCCUUACUCCUACGGGAGGCAGCAGUGGGGAAUAUUGGACAAUGGACCGAGAGUCUGAUCCAGCAAUUCUGUGUGCACGAUGAAGUUUUUCGGAAUGUAAAGUGCUUUCAGUUGGGAAGAAAAAAAUGACGGUACCAACAGAAGAAGUGACGGCUAAAUACGUG